Molecule: ribosomal RNA, 480 nt
Filed under: uncultured bacterium
Lineage: Bacteria
Description: bacterial SSU rRNA
Rfam family: Bacterial small subunit ribosomal RNA
Source: RNAcentral
UAACACAUGCAAGUCGAGCGGCAGCGGGAAAGUAGCUUGCUACUUUUGCCGGCGAGCGGCGGACGGGUGAGUAAUGCCUGGGAAAUUGCCCAGUCGAGGGGGAUAACAGUUGGAAACGACUGCUAAUACCGCAUACGCCCUACGGGGGAAAGCAGGGGACCUUCGGGCCUUGCGCGAUUGGAUAUGCCCAGGUGGGAUUAGCUAGUUGGUGAGGUAAUGGCUCACCAAGGCGACGAUCCCUAGCUGGUCUGAGAGGAUGAUCAGCCACACUGGAACUGAGACACGGUCCAGACUCCUACGGGAGGCAGCAGUGGGGAAUAUUGCACAAUGGGGGAAACCCUGAUGCAGCCAUGCCGCGUGUGUGAAGAAGGCCUUCGGGUUGUAAAGCACUUUCAGCGAGGAGGAAAGGUCNGUAGCUAAUAUCUGCUGGCUGUGACGUUACUCGCAGAAGAAGCACCGGCUAACUCCGUGCCAGCAGCC